CCAAUAGCGUAUAUUAAAGUUGUUGCAGUUAAAAAGCUCGUAGUUGAAUUUCGGGAUUCUACCGUUGGUCGGGCUAUCCAGUCUGUACUAGCGUGUAGAAUUUCUACCUUCUGGGGAACCAUCAUGUUAUUAAUUUAGCGUGGUGGGAAACCAGGACCUUUACCUUGAAAAAAUUAGAGUGUUCAAAGCAGGCUUACGUCUGAAUACAUUAGCAUGGAAUAAUAAAAUAGGACGGUGGUCCUGUUUUGUUGGUUUCUGAAUCACCGUAAUGAUUAAUAGGGAUAGUUGGGGGCAUUAGUAUUCAAUUGUCAGAGGUGAAAUUCUUGGAUUUAUUGAAGACUAACUUCUUCGAAAGCAUUUGCCAAGGAUGUUUUCAUUAAUCAAGAACGAAAGUUAGGGGAUCGAAGACGAUCAGAUACCGUCGUAGUCUUAACCAUAAACUAUGCCGACUAGGGAUCGGAUGAAGUUAAUUUUUUAAUGACUCAUUCGGCGCCUUACG
This 499-nucleotide ribosomal RNA is filed under the name uncultured Glomeromycotina. RNAcentral describes it as "partial small subunit ribosomal RNA". It matches the Rfam family "Eukaryotic small subunit ribosomal RNA", at positions 591 to 1092 of the family's 1831-position model. The record is from RNAcentral. Lineage: Eukaryota; Fungi; Glomeromycota.